Molecule: ribosomal RNA, 377 nt
Filed under: uncultured bacterium
Lineage: Bacteria
Description: bacterial SSU rRNA
Rfam family: Bacterial small subunit ribosomal RNA
Source: RNAcentral
AGACGUAGGGGGCUAGCGUUGUCCGGAAUUACUGGGCGUAAAGGGCGUGUAGGCGGCCAGGAAAGUCAGUGGUGAAACACCUGGGCUCAACCCAGGUAUUGCCGUUGAAACUGUCUGGCUUGAGGAUAGAAGAGGAGUGUGGAAUUCCCGGUGUAGCGGUGAAAUGCGUAGAGAUCGGGAGGAACACCAGUGGCGAAGGCGGCACUCUGGUCUAUACCUGACGCUGAGGCGCGAAAGCUAGGGAAGCAAACAGGAUUAGAUACCCUGGUAGUCCUAGCCGUAAACGAUGGGCACUAGGUGUAGGGGGUUUAGAUACCUUCUGUGCCGUAGCUAACGCAUUAAGUGCCCCGCCUGGGGACUACGGUCGCAAGGCUAAA